Molecule: transfer RNA, 73 nt
Filed under: Holosporales bacterium
Lineage: Bacteria; Pseudomonadati; Pseudomonadota; Alphaproteobacteria; Holosporales
Description: tRNA-Thr
Rfam family: tRNA
About the family: Transfer RNA (tRNA) molecules are approximately 80 nucleotides in length. Their secondary structure includes four short double-helical elements and three loops (D, anti-codon, and T loops).
Source: RNAcentral
GCUGGAAUAGCUCAGUUGGUAGAGCAACUGAUUCGUAAUCAGUAGGUCGGAGGUUCGACUCCUCUUUCCAGCA